This 253-nucleotide ribosomal RNA is filed under the name uncultured bacterium. RNAcentral describes it as "partial 16S ribosomal RNA". It matches the Rfam family "Bacterial small subunit ribosomal RNA", at positions 524 to 776 of the family's 1533-position model. The record is from RNAcentral.
GACGAACCACACAAACGUUAUUCGGAAUUACUGGGCUUAAAGGGUGCGUAGGCUGUGCGGCAAGUUAGGUGUGAAAUCCCCCGGCUCAACCGGGGAAUUGCGCUUAAAACUACCGUGCUAGAGGAAUACAGAGGUGAGCGGAACUUCGGGUGGAGCGGUGAAAUGCGUUGAUAUCCGAAGGAACACCGGUGGCGAAAGCGGCUCACUGGGUAUUUUCUGACGCUGAUGCACGAAAGCUAGGGGAGCAAACGGG